CGUCAGGAGAGAAUGCUGCUAGAACACAGCCAUACAGCCCGGAAACAACACAGCACCACACGGCCAUACAGCCCAGAAACAGCACAGCACCACAGAUAUUCCAGCCAUGAAAGCCUUCGAUAAUGCAUUUUGUAGUUAUUGUUGGUUACAUAAACUGGAAGUAAAUAUUUAAAUAAUGGUGGGGACUAUCAGUCCUGUUGACCUUCAGCAUUUGAUGUGGGCACACAUCAGCGUUGUGGACUAGGACCCUUCAAACUUCUGCAUAAACGUGCUAAAACCUGCUUAAAGUUACACUGGUGUGUAUAUGUAUAACCCUUUUUUCUGAUCAGUAAAUGGCUUUACUUUAGAUUGCAAAAUGAUUAGUUCUGAUGGGUUUUGUGUGGCUGAGUUUGCAAUACCAGGUGGAUCCUUGUGCAAUUGAGGGAGACGAGACCUCAGGAUUCAUGGAGUAAUGCUCGUUUUUGGCAUGGUAGCAUAACCACAACAGAGGAGAGCUCGCCAGGAACCGAAAACUAAGUAGCUUUGCAGAUCCAGGAGGCAUGCAGAUGGUUGAGCUACUAGGAACGGCUAGCAAGAGUAGCUCCGAAUGGCUUCCAGCUCAGACGCUACCACAGCUGAGAGUAGACACGUGUGUUGAGCCGAGUGGACAGAUAAGCCAGGUGCAGGCUUCUGCUGACUAGAAGGGAGUGCUCAGUGACCACCGGAAGGAGGCAGUCAAGAGUAAGGAUCCUUGCUCUUAGGACUAGCAGUCAGACGCAGAAGGAAGGAAAGGUUAUAUUACUGUACUGGUAGGUAAGAACAGAUUUUACUUAUGUCAUAUACAGUUUUGUUGUCCUGCUAAACUUCCUCAGAGGCUGAGAGUUUUAUUUUGUAAAUAUCAGUUCGGCUACAGUUUUAUAACUUGCCCAGUGCUGUAAUAUACAAGCAUUAGAUGGGUAGAACAUAAUACUUAUUGGAAGAUCAACAAUAUUUGCUCACAGGCCUUGAAUGGCCUGGCUGGUGAAAUUUCCUAAUGGAACUGUUGCCUCUUUUUAACACCCGCUUUGGGUGGCAUUGCCAGCUUAAGAAUGUAGCCCAGUAUUUCAGGGCACUGGCUAUGCUGCUGGUAAAUGCAGUGGGAUGUUUAUGGGGUGUGGGGAGGUUUGGGCGAGGCAUCUGUUGAAUGUAAGGCAGAGAGCGUGUAUUGCAUGAAAUUAACAGGCCUUCCUGUUUGCAGGGGAAGAGGCUCUGCGCAAGCAUCAAAUGCCAUCGUACGAGAGCUAGGAUGUCUUUUGGAACUUCCCUUUUCAAAAAAGGUCUCAACAUGGAUUCUGAAAAGCUUUCAGUGAAAGUUAAAUGGCUACUGGGUAGCUAUAUGUAUCAGUGAUUGAUAUGAACCAGUCUUAUAGUCAAUAAAGCAUUUUAUAG
Long non-coding RNA from Sphaerodactylus townsendi, 1407 nucleotides. RefSeq lists it as uncharacterized. Lineage: Eukaryota; Metazoa; Chordata; Lepidosauria; Squamata; Sphaerodactylidae. The transcript is spliced from 2 exons. The record is from RefSeq and is a predicted model, not a curated record.